RNAcentral lists this transfer RNA (63 nucleotides) under Heterocephalus glaber (naked mole-rat). It matches the Rfam family "tRNA". Rfam says of the family: Transfer RNA (tRNA) molecules are approximately 80 nucleotides in length. Their secondary structure includes four short double-helical elements and three loops (D, anti-codon, and T loops). Further hydrogen bonds mediate the characteristic L-shaped molecular structure. tRNAs have two regions of fundamental functional importance: the anti-codon, which is responsible for specific mRNA codon recognition, and the 3' end, to which the tRNAs corresponding amino acid is attached (by aminoacyl-tRNA synthetases). tRNAs cope with the degeneracy of the genetic code in two manners: having more than one tRNA (with a specific anti-codon) for a particular amino acid; and 'wobble' base-pairing, i.e. permitting non-standard base-pairing at the 3rd anti-codon position. The record is from Rfam by way of RNAcentral. Lineage: Eukaryota; Metazoa; Chordata; Mammalia; Rodentia; Bathyergidae.
GGAGGUGUAGCUCAAUGGUAGAGCAUGUGCUUAGCAUAUGUAAGACCCUGGGUUCCAUCUCCA